GGAGAGGUACUCAAGAGGCCGAAGAGGAUGGUUUGCUAAACCAUUAGGGGGCUUAUAGCCUCGCGAGGGUUCGAAUCCCUCUCUCUCCGCCA
RNAcentral lists this transfer RNA (92 nucleotides) under Polycladospora coralii. RNAcentral describes it as "tRNA-Ser". It matches the Rfam family "tRNA". Rfam says of the family: Transfer RNA (tRNA) molecules are approximately 80 nucleotides in length. Their secondary structure includes four short double-helical elements and three loops (D, anti-codon, and T loops). Lineage: Bacteria; Bacillati; Bacillota; Bacilli; Caryophanales; Thermoactinomycetaceae. The record is from RNAcentral.